GACGAACGCUGGCGGCGUGCUUAACACAUGCAAGUCGAACGGUAAGGCCCUAGCUUUCUGGGGUGCACGAGUGGCGAACGGGUGAGUAACACGUGGGUAACCUGCCCUGCACUUCGGGAUAAGUUCGGGAAACUGGGGCUAAUACCGGAUAGGAGCACGGUCUGCAUACUGUGGUGGAAAGAUUUUUCGGUGUGGGAUGGGCACGCGGCUUAUCAGCUUGUUGGUGGGGUAAUGGCCUACCAAGGCUGCGACGGGUAGCCGGCCUGAGAGGGUGAACGGCCACAUUGGGACUGAGAUACGGCCCAGACUCCUACGGGAGGCAGCAGUGGGGAAUAUUGCACAAUGGGCGGAAGCCUGAUGCAGCAACGCCGCGUGCGGGAUGACGGCCUUCGGGUUGUAAACUGCUUUCGCCAUCGACGAAGGGUUUGUGACGGUAGAUGGAAAAGAAGCACCGGCUAACUACGUG
This 466-nucleotide ribosomal RNA is filed under the name uncultured bacterium. RNAcentral's name for it is "partial 16S ribosomal RNA". It matches the Rfam family "Bacterial small subunit ribosomal RNA", at positions 28 to 507 of the family's 1533-position model. The record is from RNAcentral.